Molecule: long non-coding RNA, 3494 nt
Organism: Rhododendron vialii
Lineage: Eukaryota; Viridiplantae; Streptophyta; Magnoliopsida; Ericales; Ericaceae
Exons: 5
Source: RefSeq, a predicted model, not a curated record
UGACUAACAACCAAGGGAACCGUAAUCGGAUAGCGGCGAUAGAGGUAUUAUUAUGCAGGUUGAUCAUAUAGUGCUGAGCUUGAGACCUGGUGGAGGCGGCAAUCGAGGGACCCCGUUUCUAUUCCUCUUCUUCAGAUCUUCCCCUCCUUCGUCCCCAUGGCGGUGCUGGUUUUGGUUAUUGGCUCGUGUAACUUGGUGUUGUUAAGUUGGGUUUGACUUGUAUGAAUCCAUUUUCGCUGAAAGGAACAUAUGGAUUGAGAUUUUACAGGAUAGCUACAAACAGGAAGUAGAUACGUGGUUUAACACGGAUAGUUGCACGAGUAAUAUUUGGCAUCGCUUCAAUAGUAUUGAUCUGAUACUUUGAACUUAUAAGUAUGAGUACUAUAUUUUGUUGCUAUUUCCGAAAUCUGUUAUGAUGGCUAUUCUUAAAUACUUGUUUACCUAUGCGAUUCUGAAAAAGGAUCAAUCUUUAUGAAAGCAUUUAAGAUAUGUUUAUGAAUUAUUGGUAUUGGAAACGGCAACCAAACAAGGGCACUGUGUUUUCUCAAGAAGGUUGGUAUGUUUCAUAUUGGACAUCUUGCCAUUGGGGACAUCUUCUGGAGUUGUUGCAUUAUUCUUGGUUAAUGAGUGAGCGGAGAGGAGAUAAAGAUAAUACAGUUUGGUAGGAGAAGACUAUGUAUUUUAAAACAAGUUUGGAUGCCAUGUCCUUUGAAAGUGAAUUAGAUGGAGAUUUGUAAACAUUAAUUUCCUAAUUCUUGGCAGUGCGUUUAUGGUGUGUAUUUGCUGUAAAUAUGGACAGACAUUAUUUUUUUUGUGGGCUGUAGGUGGGCAUGAAGUUAGCAUGAGAUUGCCCAUAAAGAUAUACAUACAUGGAAGCUUCUUCCAAGAGAUUUUAUUCAAGAAGGGGAUUACACUCUUGGGCCUUGGUGUAGCCCUGUUUUUUUCUUCAGUAGUAUUAUUGUACGGAUACUUAGAAGUUUAUAUGCUCUACUUUGUUGGUAUUUCCAAAACCAGUUCUGGUGACUUUUCUCAAAGCUUGUUUUUCGGCGAGAUUCUGAAAAGGACCAAUUUUUAUUGAAGCAUUGAAGAGAUACUUUUGAAUUCUUGAAAAUGACCACACGUGGUCAUUCUGUUUGAUGAAGUAGUGAUUGCCUUAUUGGAAUGUUUCAUAUUGGAUAUCUGUCCAUAGGUGAUGUUUCAGGAGUUAUUCCAGUACUCCUGGUUCAUGAGUAUGUGGAAAGGAAACAAAGAGAAUACAGGUCGUUAGAACUCCAAGUAUUUUCAAUAAAUUCGGAUAUGAUGUCCUUUGAAGGGAAUGUAAUGGAAACUUUUAGACUCAAUUGUCCUGAUUCUUGGCAGUGCGCUUAAGGUGUGUUUCUGCUGUAAAUAUGGACAUACAGUAUUCUGUAGGCUUUAGGUGGGCAUGAAGUUAGUAUCAGAUUGCCCAUAAAGAACCUACAUACAUGGAAGCCUCUUCCAAGGGAUUUUAUUGUAGAAGGCGAUUACACCGUUGUGAUGUAGGUUUUUUUUCUUAGAUUCAUUCCAAUCAUGAUCGUCAAGCAUUUACUUAAUUAAUAGUUAUGGUUUUUUUUUUUUGUCGUGAUUGGUGGCAUGGGAUCAGUUCAUGACCCAUUUGACAGCCGGUGAAUAUCCUGUGGUAAUACUUUAGAGAAUUUAUCAUCCAAGUUUUUUCUGAUUAUUAAUUGGAUUUAAUUUUUUGGGCAAAUGUUACAUUUGCAUUUUGCAUCUUUAGUUUAUUUGUCUCAUAACAAACAUGGAGUUUCACUUAUUUGCUUUUACAGAGUUCCUAUUUCAUGUCGAAACUUCAGCCAUACGCUUUGAUGGUAUUAUGGAAGUUAUAUUUCGUGCAUGUAGGUUUGCCGUUAUGUAUGACCUAUUUGUUGUGCUCAACUCAUGUGUUCACAUGUCCUUAAGCUUCCUUGUUGACUUUGCCUAUUAUGACUCAUAUUCAUUGUGCUGUGUAUGUUAGCCAUGUUUUUUCAUGCCCUCUUAUAUAGAGUUCUUGCGUUGUAGCUCUCUCUGGGGAUUUUAAAAUGAUGAAUGAUGUCUGUUGUGCAGGUUUGUAGAAUUGAACUCUUUAUUGGAACCUGAGAGACCUCCCAAAAAUGACAAGUUGGCCAUACGUGGGGACGCCAUCCAAGUUGUGAACCAGUUGCGAGCUGAAUCCCAACAUUUCAAGGAGACAAAUGAGAAACUUGUAGAAGAGAUAAAAAGUUUUAACGGUUGGUUAUAUUUAUGUACCAUUCUCUUUGAGUGAAGCUUCGCUAAUUUGUGGUAUUGUACGACAUUGAUUUUGCCAUUUUUGUACUCUAUGCCAUUGCUGAGUGAGGGAACCAAGCGCUAUAAAGCAAAAAGGCAAAUCUUUUGGACUAUAUAAUUUGCCUAAACUACUUUAACACAUACAUUAACAUAAUUCAUCACACAUAUACAUGACAACCAUAAAGCUUCACGCAUAUAUUCAACGGGCACGUCAUCGCAUGAUGCCUACUCACUAGUAGGUCUAAUGUGGAUCUUGAUUGAUCAAUGAAAAAUUGGUUCCUGUAGUUGACUUCUUUUUACUUUGAUUCUUGGCUUACAAAGCCCGUUGAAUGCUUAUAACUACGUAUUUCCAUGCAACUCUAACUAAAGGCAAUUAUUUGAAAUGUCGUCACAGGCGUACCCUUGCUUCUUGUGACUGAAAAGUUUAAGCGAAGAGGAUCCAAUUUGAAUGCAACCUGAGUUUGUUGAAAAACACGUAUUGUAUGUACUCAUCUCAUGCUAUUCUGCAUCUGUUUUUAUCUUGUUUUAUUUGGGGAAGGUAUUCACAGCUUACCAGAUAGCCUAGGAGAUGAUCUAACCGUUGAAGUCCAGGAUUCCCAAGGGAAAUUUUUUUGUGUCGUGUGCUUUUCCAAGUGGCUUAUAUCUUAGAGAUCUGGUAAAGCCUCCAAAUCCUCAGUUUAGUUAUGAAGCUAGCUGUUAAUGAGUGGUUUUUUAUUGAGGGAUUUUGAUUUUGAUGUCAUUGCAAGGUGAUAAGAUACGAUAGUGGUCUAUUUAUCGUGAACAAGAACAUGAACUUGUUGGAAAAUUGCGACUUUUUAUUAAUUGCUCUACGGUUUAGUCUUUUUGAUGAAAAUAAUCAUCUUAAGUGCGGCUUUGAUGCAGAAACAGUGGGCAUAUGAUGUGGUCUCAAUGAAAGUUCAACAUUUUCAACAAAGAAAUUUGCUGCUGCAUGGCCCAUAGAAAUGGUUGCUGAUUGAAUUUGCGUCGUAUUAGGGUGUUUCAGAUGCUUACACAAGGCUAAGGAUAGUUCACAAAGAUGACACUAGCAAAGAGCUGUUUGAAUGUGAUUUUAGGGCAUCAAUCGCCAGCCACAUAACCCAAUGUUAAUUGUGCCUACUUUGUCCCUUUUUCAGCACCAUAGUGCUGACUUCUAAAGUUAAAGUUAGACCGACAUAUACUUUAGCCUGCAAAGAAAGGUAGUUUUAUAAUUUUGU